This 351-nucleotide unclassified non-coding RNA is filed under the name Hevea brasiliensis (rubber tree). Lineage: Eukaryota; Viridiplantae; Streptophyta; Magnoliopsida; Malpighiales; Euphorbiaceae. The record is from RNAcentral.
CUCGUUCCUGCUCCAACCUCCAUUGAAGAAACCCCAAAGCAGCUUGACAAGGAGACUAACUCUGGUCCAACCCCUAGUUAUAUCACCUUCUCUGACUUAGGCCUCGCCGGGUGGGCUGUACAGACCUGUAAUGAGCUGGGCAUGAAGAAACCCACUCCUGUACAAUAUCACUGUAUACCCAGAAUACUCUCCGGACAGGAUGUGUUAGGUUUAGCUCAGACUGGUAGUGGAAAAACAGCUGCAUUUGCAUUGCCUAUUCUUCAUCGUUUAGCUGAAGAUCCUUAUGGGGUGUCCUGUCUUGUGGUUACUCCGACACGGGAGCUUGCGUUUCAGCUUGCCGAGCAGUUUCGG